Molecule: ribosomal RNA, 253 nt
Filed under: uncultured bacterium
Lineage: Bacteria
Description: partial 16S ribosomal RNA
Rfam family: Bacterial small subunit ribosomal RNA
Source: RNAcentral
UACGUAGGGGGCGAGCGUUGUCCGGAUUUAUUGGGCGUAAAGAGCGUGUAGGCGGUUCGGUAAGUCUGUCGUGAAAUCCUGAGGCUCAACCUUGGACGUGCGAUGGAUACUGCCGGGCUAGAGGAUGGUAGAGGCGAGUGGAAUUCCUGGUGUAGCGGUGGAAUGCGCAGAUAUCAGGAGGAACACCAAUAGCGAAGGCAGCUCGCUGGGACGGUAUUGACGCUGAGGCGCGAAAGCGUGGGGAGCAAACAGG